Molecule: ribosomal RNA, 550 nt
Filed under: Apis andreniformis
Lineage: Eukaryota; Metazoa; Arthropoda; Insecta; Hymenoptera; Apidae
Description: partial 16S ribosomal RNA
Rfam family: Bacterial large subunit ribosomal RNA (bases 397-550)
Source: RNAcentral
UCAAACAUGUCUUAUUGAAUAUAAUUUUAGUCGAUCUGCUCCAUGAAUUAAUUUUAAAUAGCUGCAGUAUUUUGACUGUACAAAGGUAGCAUAAUAAAUUGUCUUUUAAUUGAAGAAUUGAAUGAACGAAUUGAUGAAAUAAUUACUGUCUCUAAAUUAUAAAAUGAACUUAAAUUUUUAGUUAAAAUUCUAAAAUUUAAUUAUGGGACGAUAAGACCCUAUAGAAUUUUAUUUAAAUUAUUAUUUAAUUUAAAUUUUAUUUUUAAAUAAAAUAAUAAAUUUAAAUUUGAUUGGGAGGAUUAAUAAAUUUAAUAAACUUUAUUUUUAAAUAUAAUUUUGAUUAAAAGAUUUAAUAUUGAUCUAUAAUUUAUAAUUAAAAGAAUAAAUUACCUUAGGGAUAACAGCGUAAUAUCUUUUGAUAGACCUUAUUGAUAAAGAUGAUUGCGACCUCGAUGUUGAAUUAAGAUAAAAAUUAAAUGCAGGAGUUUAAUUAUUUAAGUCUGUUCGACUUUUAAAAUCUUACAUGAUUUGAGUUAAAUUCGACGUAAGU